CUAUCGCUUACAGAUGGGCCCGCGGUGCAUUAGCUAGUUGGUAGGGUAAUGGCCUACCAAGGCAACGAUGCAUAGCCGACCUGAGAGGGUGAUCGGCCACACUGGGACUGAGACACGGCCCAGACUCCUACGGGAGGCAGCAGUAGGGAAUCUUCCGCAAUGGACGAAAGUCUGACGGAGCAACGCCGCGUGUAUGAAGAAGGUUUUCGGAUCGUAAAGUACUGUUGUUAGAGAAGAACAAGGAUAAGAGUAACUGCUUGUCCCUUGACGGUAUCUAACCAGAAAGCCACGGCUAACUACGUGCCAGCAGCCGCGGUAAUACGUAGGUGGCAAGCGUUGUCCGGAUUUAUUGGGCGUAAAGCGCGCGCAGGCGGUCUUUUAAGUCUGAUGUGAAAGCCCCCGGCUUAACCGGGGAGGGUCAUUGGAAACUGG
RNAcentral lists this ribosomal RNA (432 nucleotides) under Listeria monocytogenes. RNAcentral's name for it is "bacterial SSU rRNA". It matches the Rfam family "Bacterial small subunit ribosomal RNA", at positions 212 to 636 of the family's 1533-position model. The record is from RNAcentral. Lineage: Bacteria; Bacillati; Bacillota; Bacilli; Caryophanales; Listeriaceae.